UUUCCGUAGGCAAGUAUUCCCACAUGCCUCUCUUUUCGCUUUUGCUAACCAUCUAAUAGGUGAACCUGCGGAAGGAUCAUUACCGAGUUCUCCUGCUUGCAGGAACUCCCACCCUUGGCAACUCGACGUUGCUUCGGCGAGACGUUGGAAACAGCCGUUGGCAGCAAGAUUUGAUGCCGCCGACGCGGGCUCGCCGGAGUUCACAUACUCUGAGAUUAUGUAUCGUCAGAUAAAACAAGCAAUAUAUAAAAACUUUCAACAACGGAUCUCUUGGUUUUGGCAUCGAUAAGAACGCAGC
Molecule: unclassified non-coding RNA, 298 nt
Filed under: plant metagenome
Description: partial contains small subunit ribosomal RNA, internal transcribed spacer 1, and 5.8S ribosomal RNA
Source: RNAcentral